CCGUAGCCCAAGAGAUCGGGAUAACACCUGGAAACAGAUGCUAAUACCGGAUAAUAACAGAUGAUGCCUAUCAACUGUUUAAAAGAUGGUUCUGCUAUCACUCUUGGAUGGACCUGCGGUGCAUUAGCUAGUUGGUAGGGUAACGGCCUACCAAGGCGAUGAUGCAUAGCCGAGUUGAGAGACUGAUCGGCCACAUUGGGACUGAGACACGGCCCAAACUCCUACGGGAGGCAGCAGCU
This 239-nucleotide ribosomal RNA is filed under the name uncultured Lactobacillus sp. RNAcentral describes it as "partial 16S ribosomal RNA". It matches the Rfam family "Bacterial small subunit ribosomal RNA", at positions 125 to 355 of the family's 1533-position model. The record is from RNAcentral. Lineage: Bacteria; Bacillati; Bacillota; Bacilli; Lactobacillales; Lactobacillaceae.